Long non-coding RNA from Oxyura jamaicensis (ruddy duck), 220 nucleotides. RefSeq lists it as uncharacterized. Lineage: Eukaryota; Metazoa; Chordata; Aves; Anseriformes; Anatidae. The record is from RefSeq and is a predicted model, not a curated record. The transcript has 3 exons.
UCUGCCCCAUAAGUAAGGCUCUGCCCCAUAGCGGGGAGCCUGCCCCAUAGAGCCUGCCCCAUAGGAAGGAACCUGCCCCAUAGCAGGGAGCCUGCCCCAUAAGUAAGGCCCUGCCCCAUAGCGGGGAGCCUGCCCCAUAGCGAUCUGCCCCAUAGAAGGAACCUGCCCCAUAGCGGGGAGCCUGCCCCAUAGAGGUCUGCCCCACAGGAAAGGCCCUGCC